RNAcentral lists this ribosomal RNA (304 nucleotides) under Pantoea sp. LS93. Its description in RNAcentral is "bacterial SSU rRNA". It matches the Rfam family "Bacterial small subunit ribosomal RNA", at positions 159 to 465 of the family's 1533-position model. Lineage: Bacteria; Pseudomonadati; Pseudomonadota; Gammaproteobacteria; Enterobacterales; Erwiniaceae. The record is from RNAcentral.
GUGGCUAAUACCGCAUAACGUCCCCACAAACCAGAGGGGGACCUUCGGGCCUCUCACUAUCGGAUGAACCCAGAUGGGAUUAGCUAGUAGGCGGGGUAAUGGCCCACCUAGGCGACGAUCCCUAGCUGGUCUGAGAGGAUGACCAGCCACACUGGAACUGAGACACGGUCCAGACUCCUACGGGAGGCAUCAGUGGGGAAUAUUGCACAAUGGGCGCAAGCCUGAUGCAGCCAUGCCGCGUGUAUGAAGAAGGCCUUCGGGUUGUAAAGUACUUUCCGCGGGGAGGAAGGCGAUGGGGUUAAUA